UACGUAGGUGGCAUGCGUUAUCCGGAUUUACUGGGUGUAAAGGGCGUGUAGGCGGGAAAGCAAGUCAGAUGUGAAAACCAUGGGCUCAACCUGUGGCCUGCAUUUGAAACUGUUUUUCUUGAGUACUGGAGAGGCAGACGGAAUUCCUAGUGUAGCGGUGAAAUGCGUAGAUAUUAGGAGGAACACCAGUGGCGAAGGCGGUCUGCUGGACAGCAACUGACGCUGAGGCGCGAAAGCGUGGGGAGCAAACAGG
RNAcentral lists this ribosomal RNA (253 nucleotides) under uncultured bacterium. RNAcentral's name for it is "partial 16S ribosomal RNA". It matches the Rfam family "Bacterial small subunit ribosomal RNA", at positions 524 to 776 of the family's 1533-position model. The record is from RNAcentral.